This is a small nucleolar RNA of Calidris pygmaea (Spoon-billed sandpiper), 71 nucleotides long. Its record names the gene SNORD18. It matches the Rfam family "Small nucleolar RNA SNORD18". Rfam says of the family: U18 is a member of the C/D class of snoRNA which contain the C (UGAUGA) and D (CUGA) box motifs. It is encoded in introns of ribosomal protein L1 in Xenopus and human, and in introns of elongation factor 1 beta in yeast. Related snoRNAs in Arabidopsis and rice have been named R63 and Z106 respectively. Lineage: Eukaryota; Metazoa; Chordata; Aves; Charadriiformes; Scolopacidae. The record is from Ensembl.
CUGGAAUGAUGAGAUUCCACUUCAUCGGUCCGUGUUUCUGAAACCCAUGAUUUUGUGGAAGUUCUGACCNN